AAGAGUAUUCGGAAGCAAUGGUGAGGGAAGGAGAUCUGGACGGCGAUGGAGCUCUCAACGAGACGGAGUUCUGCAUCUUGAUGGUCAGGCUCAGCCCUGGGAUGAUGGAAGACGCCGAGGCGUGGCUUGAGAAGGCCCUCCAUCCGGAGCUGCAACGAUCUGCUUAGUUAGUUU
Molecule: long non-coding RNA, 174 nt
Organism: Telopea speciosissima
Lineage: Eukaryota; Viridiplantae; Streptophyta; Magnoliopsida; Proteales; Proteaceae
Exons: 3
Source: RefSeq, a predicted model, not a curated record